AGGGGUGCGGUGCCAAGGGUGGUGGCAAGGGGUGAUUUUCUUUGCCGGCUUCUUGGAUUUUUCUCUUAGUCUUAAGAACCUGAGCCCGUAUCCCACGAUGACUCGACCCCAAUCCCCCAGCUGCUAGCCCCCGGAAAAAUAUUAUCUACCUCCGCCCUGGCCAUCACCCCUCCACAUCGCCUUUCCCCCAUAUCCUCACCAGCACGCGCGGGAGAAAACUGUGGGCCGAGGAACACCCCACCCUCUCCGGAGGCUGCUGCCCCCAGGGCAAAGCUUCGGGAAGACCAGCCGAAAAUGAAGCGAGAACAACCCCCCUUUCCUGCAGAAAGGGCCCCAGACUCCUGCAAAAGGGCCCCGACUGCUGAGAAGCCCCUCCCGCCCUUGCCUCAUCUUUCCGACUUCCCUGCCUGCCACGUCUCCUUUCCUCUCCAGCAAGACUCCUCCAGAAUCCUCAUUCUCAGAGUCCAAGCCUGACUUCCUGGAAAGGUGUCCUGAAGCUCAGGUGAAACUCUCCUGAAGCUCAAGGCCACCUUGCUGUCUGCUGCCCUGAACUCCACGGACUCCAAGCUGUCUCCUCCUCACACAUUCCUGACCAUCUGCUGUUUUGCCUACAUACAGACCCCUGGGAAGAUGAGGAAAUCCAGAUCUGGAAUGGACAGUGUAUUGAGAACCUCCAAAGCCAGCAGGAGGUCCAGAGGGGGCAGGUGUCUUACAGAAGACAUGAACAGGCACUCAACAUAUGUUUCUUUAUUUAACCCUCAAGAACUCUGGAACAUCAGAUACACUUCAGCCAACUUCCAGCUACAAGCAAACUCAGUGUUCUCCCAAUGUUUCCACUGUGGGGUAAAGGCACUGGCAGUUUUAAAAGUCAAGAACCUUGGACUCAUCCUUGGCACCUCCCUCUCCCUCCCGAGCCGCCACCCAUAGCUAAUCCAUCACCACAGCCUGUCAUUUACUGGAGCCUCCAGCCUCGAAUCUCCUCCCACCUCUGUGACCAACCACAGCCCGGCCUCCCGCAUCCACUCUGCCCCAGUCAGAGGGCUCUCAGUCAGAGGGAUCUUUCCAAAAUAGACUGCAUCAUGGCACUCUCCUGCUUAAACCCUUCCGUGACUCCUGCUUACACUCAGGAUAAAGAUCCAAAUCUGGAACUGACUGUUGUUGCCGCCCCAGCCUGGAGGCUCUCUGAUCUCAUCUCUCAGGCUCAGUCACACUCCGCAACCUGCGAUGCUUUCUUCCUGGCAAGCCUGGCAAGCCGGUGAUUCCUGGCUAAGACCUGCCUCCCCGGCUAGGCUAGGGUGAAAACCACAUCUGUGUCUGCCUGGGUCCUACUGUUUCCCCAUGGCCCACAGGGUACCUGCACAUGAUAGGUUCUCGGUAAUAGCUACUCAGUGAUGAAUGAAUGGCAGAGAAAUCAAGCCUUUGCCUGUGCCGCAGCGGCUCUGCAGCCUGACUGCUCUGCCAGGUGGCCACAGUGCUAGACUACCAUAUUAGCUUAGAAAACUACCUCCUGCAGCCACACUGUGUGCCAGGCUCUGCCUCCCUACCUUUAAACACACUCAUCCUGACCCAUUUUGCCUGUUUUCAGGAGUGAUCGCCAACAUUUGUACUUUUUGUGACUUGUACAUAUUUUUACUAUAAAAUUUCCUGACCCGAUUCAUUCAACAACUGGAUAACAAUUGGUUAUGGGUUUGACAAGGCAGACUCAUUGACAUUUGGAGGCAUAAACAGUUCUGGCUUUGGCAGUCCAGAUGGCUUCCCCAAGAAGCUAGAGGCUGUGGCCCCAGAACUCUGCUCUUUUAGCUGCUGCUAAAAAGAUGGGAGAAUUUAGUUCAAGGCAAAGCCUUGCGAUUCCCCCCUGCCCACUCCUGCCCUCCCUGCUCCAAGGCCGCCCUUGAUGUUUUAUUUAAAUCUGAUUUCAUCUAGAUAAGCUUGGUGGAGGGCAAAGGAAAGAAGUCAUCCUCCCUGCAGCCUGCCCCCCACCACCCCCGCCGCUUUGCAUUCAUUAUGCAAGUAUUUGUUUGGAGGGAGAGGGGCUCCACUGAGCCAAGUGCAAAGUGUUGGGGAUACAGCAGCAAACCAGAGACAGGUGGGUAUGUAGUGGGUUAG
Molecule: long non-coding RNA, 2106 nt
Organism: Cercocebus atys (sooty mangabey)
Lineage: Eukaryota; Metazoa; Chordata; Mammalia; Primates; Cercopithecidae
Exons: 4
Source: RefSeq, a predicted model, not a curated record